AGUGAACGCUGGCGGUAGGCCUAACACAUGCAAGUCGAACGGCAGCACAAUAAGAGCUUGCUCUUACGGGUGGCGAGUGGCGGACGGGUGAGGAAUACAUCGGAAUCUACUUUUUCGUGGGGGAUAACGUAGGGAAACUUACGCUAAUACCGCAUACGACCUACGGGUGAAAGCAGGGGAUCUUCGGACCUUGCGCGAUUGAAUGAGCCGAUGUCGGAUUAGCUAGUUGGCGGGGUAAAGGCCCACCAAGGCGACGAUCCGUAGCUGGUCUGAGAGGAUGAUCAGCCACACUGGAACUGAGACACGGUCCAGACUCCUACGGGAGGCAGCAGUGGGGAAUAUUGGACAAUGGGCGCAAGCCUGAUCCAGCCAUACCGCGUGGGUGAAGAAGGCCUUCGGGUUGUAAAGCCCUUUUGUUGGGAGAGAAAAGCAGCAGGUUAAUACCCCGCUGUUCUGACGGUACCCAAAGAAUAAGCACCGGCUAACUUCGU
Molecule: ribosomal RNA, 491 nt
Filed under: uncultured bacterium
Lineage: Bacteria
Description: partial 16S ribosomal RNA
Rfam family: Bacterial small subunit ribosomal RNA
Source: RNAcentral